GACGAACGCUGGCGGCGUGCUUAACACAUGCAAGUCGAACGGAAAGGCCCUGCUUUUGUGGGGUGCUCGAGUGGCGAACGGGUGAGUAACACGUGAGCAACCUGCCCUUGACUUUGGGAUAACUUCAGGAAACUGGGGCUAAUACCGGAUAGGAGCUCCUGCUGCAUGGUGGGGGUUGGAGAGUUUCGGCGGUUGGGGAUGGACUCGCGGCUUAUCAGCUUGUUGGUGGGGUAGUGGCUUACCAAGGCUUUGACGGGUAGCCGGCCUGAGAGGGUGACCGGCCACAUUGGGACUGAGAUACGGCCCAGACUCCUACGGGAGGCAGCAGUGGGGAAUAUUGCACAAUGGGCGGAAGCCUGAUGCAGCAACGCCGCGUGCGGGAUGACGGCCUUCGGGUUGUAAACCGCUUUCGCCUGUGACGAAGCGUGAGUGACGGUAAUGGGUAAAGAAGCACCGGCUAACUACGUG
Molecule: ribosomal RNA, 468 nt
Filed under: uncultured bacterium
Lineage: Bacteria
Description: partial 16S ribosomal RNA
Rfam family: Bacterial small subunit ribosomal RNA
Source: RNAcentral